UACAGAGGUCUCAAGCGUUGUUCGGAUUCAUUGGGCGUAAAGGGUGCGUAGGUGGCGCCGUAAGUCGGAUGUGAAAUUUCGGAGCUUAACUUCGAAACUGCAUUCGAUACUGCGGUGCUUGAGGACUGGAGAGGAGACUGGAAUUCAUGGUGUAGCAGUGAAAUGCGUAGAGAUCAUGAGGAAGACCAGUGGCGAAGGCGGGUCUCUGGACAGUUCCUGACACUGAGGCACGAAGGCCAGGGGAGCAAACGGG
RNAcentral lists this ribosomal RNA (253 nucleotides) under uncultured bacterium. Its description in RNAcentral is "partial 16S ribosomal RNA". It matches the Rfam family "Bacterial small subunit ribosomal RNA", at positions 524 to 776 of the family's 1533-position model. The record is from RNAcentral.